Molecule: ribosomal RNA, 719 nt
Filed under: Entrophospora etunicata
Lineage: Eukaryota; Fungi; Glomeromycota; Glomeromycetes; Entrophosporales; Entrophosporaceae
Description: eukaryotic LSU rRNA
Rfam family: Eukaryotic large subunit ribosomal RNA
Source: RNAcentral
AAAGAAACUAACAAGGAUUCCCCUAGUAACGGCGAGUGAAGAGGGAAGAGCUUAAAUUUUAAAUCUGCCUUGUUCCAAGGUCGAGUUGUAAUUUGAAGAAGCGUUUUCUUGGGCUCGCGGCCGGUAGAAGUUCUUUGGAACAGGACAUCAUAGAGGGUGACAAUCCCGUCCGUGACCGGUCGUGCGUUCAUCUACGAUACGCUUUCAAAGAGUCGAGUUGUUUGGGAUUGCAGCUCCAAAUGGGUGGUAAACAUCACCUAAGGCUAAAUAUUGGCGAGAGACCGAUAGCGAACAAGUACCGUGAGGGAAAGAUGAAAAGAACUUUGAAAAGAGAGUUAAACAGUACGUGAAAUUGUUGAAAGGGAAACGAUUGAAGUCAGUCGUGCUGGCGCGAAAUCAACCAUCUCGUCUUGAGGUCGCAUGGCGCGACGAGCCUCAAAACCGUCACGAAGCGUGAACUCUUGACGAGAAGGUGCACUUUCGUGUCCGCUGGUUAACAUCAAUUUCGACCGUCAUAAAAAGGCUGGAGGGAUGUGGCUCCUUCGGGAGUGUUAUAACCUUUAGCGGAAUGUGGUGGUCGGGAUUGAGGAUUGCAACGAAUACCUUCAGGGCUGUUCCACCUGGCUUCUCAUUGGUAUCCUGAUGACGACAGCUUGCUGACUUUGUUAGGAUUCGCCUCUGAACAGGCUAGAGUGUGAGCAAAUUCGUUAAGGAUGUUG